RNAcentral lists this ribosomal RNA (274 nucleotides) under uncultured bacterium. RNAcentral's name for it is "partial 16S ribosomal RNA". It matches the Rfam family "Bacterial small subunit ribosomal RNA", at positions 523 to 796 of the family's 1533-position model. The record is from RNAcentral.
AUACGGAGGGUGCAAACGUUGUUCGGAAUUACUGGGCGUAAAGCGCGCGUAGGCGGUUUGUUAAGUCAGAUGUGAAAGUCCACAGCACAACUGUGGAAGUGCAUUUGAAACUGGCAGACUUGAGUACUGGAGGGGGUGGUGGAAUUCCCGGUGUAGAGGUGAAAUUCGUAGAUAUCGGGAGGAAUACCGGUGGCGAAGGCGACCACCUGGCCAGAUACUGACGCUGAGGUGCGAAAGCGUGGGGAGCAAACAGGAUUAGAAACCCUAGUAGUCC